GCAAGUCGAACGAACCUUCGGGUUAGUGGCGGACGGGUGAGUAACGCGUGGGAAUCUUCCCUCAGGAGGGGGAUAACGGCCGGAAACGGCCGCUAAUACCCCAUAUGCCGAGAGGUGAAAUGAAUUUCGCCUGAGGAUGAGCCCGCGUCUGAUUAGCGAGUGGGUGAGGUAAGAGAGAACCAAGGCAUCGAUCAGUAGCUGGUCUGAGAGGAUGAUC
This 217-nucleotide ribosomal RNA is filed under the name uncultured bacterium. RNAcentral's name for it is "partial 16S ribosomal RNA". It matches the Rfam family "Bacterial small subunit ribosomal RNA", at positions 57 to 305 of the family's 1533-position model. The record is from RNAcentral.